Long non-coding RNA from Equus asinus (donkey), 6105 nucleotides. NCBI's taxonomy places the organism in Eukaryota, Metazoa, Chordata, Mammalia, Perissodactyla, Equidae. The record is from Ensembl.
GUUUUUGUCAAGUUUUAUUGGAACCCACCCAAUAGAAACAAAUGCCUGUUGUCUCUGGCUGCUCUGCUGAGGGCAAAGCUAAGUAGUUGCAACAGAGGCCUCAUUGCCCACCAAGCUGAAAAUACUUACUAUGACCCUUUACAGAAAGUUUGGUGACCCCUGCUUUAGGACUGAAUAAAGGCUAAAUACAACAGUAUUUUAAAAAAUGGGGAAACAGUGACACACACAACAGGCUGAAAUCUAGAAGAUUCCACCCAUGCAAAGAACAGUGUUUUACGGUUCAUUCAACUGUGGAGCACAAUUCAAAUUUAUCCCAUACGUUCUCUGACUGGAAACUAUUGUGUUGAGUCAACUGGUGAGUGUCUUUGCCUAAAGCCACAAUGUCAAGAUAUUACCUGUAAGCAUAUUUAUGUAGUGUGUUGGAGAAGAAGUUGUUAUUCAGCAACAGGUAGUCAGAGUUGUUCUGCAUCUUCAUCAGCACUUGGUAUUGUCAGCAUUUCUAAUUUUAGCCAUUCUAAUUGAUGUGUCGUGAAAUCUCAUUGUGAUUUUUUUUUUUUGAAGAUUUUAUUUUUUCCUUUUUUCUCCCCAAAGCCCCCCAGUACAUAGUUGUAUAUUCUUCGUUGUGGGUCCUUCUAGUUGUGGCAUGUGGGACGCUGCCUCAGCGUGGUUUGAUGAGCGGUGCCAUGUCCGUGCCCAGGAUUCGAACCAACGAAACACUGGGCCGCCUGCAGCAGAGCGCGAACUUCACCACUCAGCCACGGGGCCAGCCCCAGUCUCAUUGUGAUUUUAAUUUACGUUUCCCUAAUGGUGGAGGACGGUGAACAUCUGUUCGUGUACUCAUUUGCCAUCUCUGUGUCUUUGGUGAAGUGUCUGUUCAAGUCUUUUGUUUAUUUUUAAAUCGGCUUGUUUGUUUUCCUACUGUUUGAUGGAUACAAAUCCCUUGUCAGACAUGUACUUUGCAAUAUUUUCUCCUGGUUUGCAGCUUGCCUCUUCAUUCACUUAACAGUGUUUUUCUUAGAGCAAAAAUUUUAAUUUUGGUGAAGUCCAAUUUAUCAAUUCUUUUCUUUUAUGGAUCAUGCUUUUUGGUGUCAUGUCUAAGAAAUCUUUGUCUAGCCUUGGGUCUUGAAGAUGUUUUUCCUGUAUUUUCUUCUAAAUAUUUUACAGUUUUACAAAUUACAGUUAGAUUUAUGAUCUAUUUUGAGUUAAUUUUGUUUAAAGUGUGAGGUUUAUAUUUUUUGUUUACUUGUUUUUGGGGGCAAUAUGGAUGGAUGUCCAGUUGUUCCAGGACCAUUUUCACAGUCAGAAAUUGAAAUUAAGAAACAAUGCAAUUUAUUAUAAUGUCCAAAAUUAUCACAGUCCUAGGAAUAAAUUUGACAAAAGACGUGAAGGCGCUGUACAGCAAAAUCUGUACAACAUUGCUGAGAGAAAUGAAGUUAAUAAGACGCGGAUGGGAUAUGUGCAGUGUUCCUGGAGUGGAAACUUAAUUUUCUUAAGAUGUCUGUUUCCUCCCAAUGGAUCCAUAUGCAAUGCAAUUGCAACCAAUGUCCAAAUAGACUUUUUUGGGUAGAAGUGUGUGAAAAAUCUGGUUUCAAAGUUUAACUGCAAAGGAUCUACAGUAGCUAAAACAACUUUGAAAAAUAAGAAUAAAUUUGGAGCGGCUACUCUACGUAACUCCAAGACUUAUUACAGAGCUACAGCAGUGAGGACAGUCUGGUAUUGGAGUUGAGACAGACAGACAGACCCAUGGAACCAUAUAGAGUCCAGAAACGGAGCUAUGUCUACACGGCCACUUGGUUUUUGACACAGAUGGAAAGGCAAUUCAGUGCAGGAAGGGUAAUUUUUUUGAUAAAUCGUCUUGGAACAAGUGGAUAUAUUAAAAACUCUCUGAUCCUUCCUCACACCAUACAUCAGAUUCAUUCACGGUGGAUCAUAAUCCUAAAAAAAAAAGCUGAAAAUAUAAAACGCUUAGAAGAAAACAGGACAAAAUCUUAGAGUCUCUGUGUUUGGCACAGAUUUCUCACACACGACACAAAAAGUAGGAAUUAUAAAAGAAAAAGUCAAUCAAAAUUUAAAAUGUUUUGCUCUUUAAAGUCACUGUUACUCAGCAUCUUCCGCCUUUUCUCCCGGCCGAGAGUGGGGUGGUACAGAUAACCUAUCCUCCCCUAUUCCUGGGAAGAGAACUUGGAAUGACCUGCACCACCUGGUUGGCGUGAAGAUGAAGGAAACAGGCUCGUCUAGGCUCUCUCUCUCUUUGGUGGGACCCAUCCAUGAAUGCCAACCCCACCUCCUUGCCUACCUGACACUCUUCCUCUUUUCAGGCCUCAGCUAGUUACCUGCCCCACAAGGCUUCCCUGUCUCCCUCAGGGAGACUAAGGCAUGGCUUCUUUCAGGUGCCAUCUGGGCUUGUGCUGCAGUGAGCCGGGGGCCAAGGGCAUUGCCUUCAACUUAGUCUGCUGAGCAACAGUGCAUGCUGGGUAAGCUCAGCUUGGGCAAGACCCAUGCCGCCUCUGCUCCAUCUGGGCUUCCAUGAUGCACUUUCCUCCAGAAGGUUUAGGAAAGAAGGGGGAGCAGGUGUGAGAAGGGAAGCCGGCUGUAACCUGUAUUUCAAAAGUUUGUAAAUUCUACCCAGAUCUCAGGUUACUGUCCUGUCUGAGCCACUUGGAGCUCAACUCUGACGUUCCCUUAGACAUCUGUAGCACCGGGCAGCAGCACCUAGAACAUAGAAGCUGAGUUCUCCGAGGCCUGAGGCACCUGCUUUGUAUUCCCUACUGAGGAAUACAAUCUUAGUUGCCUCCAACCAGCAAAGUAGAAAAUAACUUAACGUGGCCAAUCCCAACCAAAUCCCAACUUUCUCAAUCAAGGCAAUCUGCCCUGCAUGCAAAAAGGAGGACGGGAAGUCAUUUUCUUGUAAUGUGGAGUUUUUAAAAUACUCACACCUUCCUUGAUUUUGUGCUUGCCUUGAUUGCAAUUUACUAAGCCUGAAAAAGCAGACAUGAAGGCUGACACUUUCAUUCAGAUUUACUUGCCUAAGUCCGUCAGCCUUUAAUCUCAUUUGCCCACAGACACACACACACCUGCCUACAUUGCUUUGCUCUUUAAAUAUACCCCAUUCCUCUGCUCUUAAGAUACAGGAAAGUUAUUAUAUCAUAAUGAUUUCAGGAUAACAAUUCUAGGAUCACAUGUCAAGGAGGAGAAGGCGAUAGCCCAGGGGUGUGAUGACAGUUCUUUGCAUCUGUGUGCUGUCCCUGCGGCUCUGCCUCUGGCCUGGAGGGACCAGAGGGGCUGGGGAGCCUGUCCCAGAGCAUCAGAGCAGGGGAACUUGAGCAUAUUUGUGUCUGAACUGUGAUUUGAGACUAACAGAGGCAGGGCCCUCUGAGGGCUCCUGUCACGCUUGCCCCUGGAUUCUGCAACAGAACGAGUACGAGCUUAUCUCCUGUGGGGCUCCUGUAACUGCUUGAACUCAGAAACCUCACGGAGGUGCUGGGAGGGGCAGAAAGGACCGGAAGGGUGCCGUCGGCACCAUAGGAAUGGCAGGGAAACACACCAGCUUAGAAGCUCCUGCCCCAGGUCGCUUGUCCUGAUGUUAUUUGCAUGUUUACGAUCCCACUGGACUAAAUUGAGAGCAGGCUGUGUGGCUGAGAGAGAGAGGCUGAGACUGAGAGAUUUGAGAUGAUUGAUGCAGGCAAUUUAUAAGCUCAGGGAGUGAUGGUAGCUUCAUCUGGUCAGCGUCUUAUCACAGAUCCCCUAAGGGCUAGAAAGGACCCGACUUAAUAGCCUCUUGGGCAGCCCUGGCUUGAUCUGGGUGACCACCACAUUCCCUGGAGGGACAACUUGUGUGGCCCCCAAACCUCUCCCUCUUACCCAAUGCCUCUUAUUAUCCUCAGCCACCAUGCCACCCUCUUCCACCCACAGCCCCCUGCCCUCGCUGGGUCCACCUCUACAGCAUCCAUCUCUAGGAGACCCCAGUAGGGAGGAGCCUCACCAUGAAGGAAAUUGCAGUGUUUGUACUGAGAGGAGGCAAGAAAAGAUUGAGAAGAGCGACUCAGGCAGAGAACACCGCACAGCAAAAAAACUCUAUGUCAGGGCCAAGGACGUGGGGUUUGUCAUCCAGCCCCAUCUAACUGCUUCCUGGGGAACAGUUUGGGAGUAUGGAUAAUAACUGUCAAUUACAAAGCACCUACUGUGUGUGUGGCACUGUGCAAGCUGUUUGUUCCUCAAUCACAUCUGCUCUCCGAGUGGAGGGGACGGGUAUUAUUUUCAUCUUCAUUUCAAGCUUAUGGAAAGUGAGACUCAAAAAGUUAAAGUCAACUGCCCAAGGUCAUGAAGAGCGUAUAAUCAGGUAGGAAUCUCUGACUCCAAAGGUCUUGCUCUAAGUCACUCUGCUGCAAUGCCUGUCCAGACAUGAGGAAUGUCAGAGGAUUCCGUCCAUUGCCUCUUGUUGGCUGAAGGUACCCAGACUUUUCUGACAUCACCGGGGACCACCCACUCCUUGCUUUGGCCAUGUUGGGCCCUCGCCCCAGGCUGCUGUGGCUCACCCAGAGUUUCCGACUCCCCCUGGCUGCAGGGCACGGCGUCUGGUAUCACCGAUGGAGCUGGAUGGAUGACAAAUCCUAGAAGUGCGGGAAGACUUCCUGGGAUGAAUUUUGACUAAUGGGAACCUGGAGGUAGGAGGGAGCUGGGCAGAUGAAUUCUGCCACCUUCCUCUCUCCCGCUGGGGACUCUGAGGCAUAGUUUCUCCUCACGACCCAUCUGGAGAAGUUCCACUUGCCGAGCAAACUGCUAAGUCUCUUCGUGGUUCCUUGUGGAUUUGGGGCCAGUGCAGUACCUACCACUGCACAUUUGCCUCUUAUCUUUGGCUCACUCCCAUAUUUCAUGGUUCCUGGUAGGCCAGGGGAGAUCUAGUGGGGAGGUUGGGGCAAGCAGGUGUAUAUGGCAUGGAUGCUCUAGGAUUUGGUAGAGAAAGAGAGUGACAAAAGAAGUUGCAGAGUCUAUCAGGGCCAAAUACAGAUUUAUAUUAUUUUAACUUUUUUUCUAAGUGACUUCAUGCCACCAGAGGACAUCUGGGGGCUCCUGUGACUUUGGUGGUUGGGAUCUCCAUUGGUCAGGGGAAGAAGCUAAUGGUCAGAUUCUCACACCUGAGCACCAGUUGCAUGUUGAUGAUGUGUGGUGAAGAUGACGUGUUCAUCUUUGGUUCUCUGGACCAGUCCCCUCUGGGGUUGUCCUGCCCGGCCCUGAGCCCUGAGUCAAGAUGUUGCUGUGAGAAAGGAGAGGAGAGGGGUAGGGAGAGAUGGCUUACCACCAUGUCGGCUAGCUCUACAUUCUGCUCAGCCGGAGGGCAUCCACCUCGUCUUUGAACAUCUUCAGGGGCCGCAAAAUUAUUGAGGACUCAAAAGAGUCAGCAAAUGAGCUCUCAAAGAAAGCUUUUAUAUACUCACCCAACUCUGCACACAGAGGCUGGAGGAAAAGAGUUAGGCCCAUUCAUCAUGAUGGCAACAGGGCCAUCACACCUUGUUAAGGGAACAGCGCACACAUGGCAUGACCCCACCUGUGCAGCAAGAUGCCAGUGUACGGAUGCCGUGUGUGGAUGGAUGGGAAAAAACUCAAUGUUAUGAGUCUGGCAAGUCAACUCUGACUAUGUCUGGGCGACUUCCAUUGUCUUCCAUGGGCUUUUCCUUAUUUUUCAAAAUUUCUAAAGAAUGGUAUCUCCGUGACACAGUGCCUUGCCUAACCCCUUUAAUUUGUCCCUAAAAACCCUGCCCAUUAAGUGAAAUGUUACAUGAAAAACCAUCUCCAUUACUUUUAAUGGGAAAACUUAUGAUGCAUUUCAUUACAAUUCAACAUUCCUGAAUUAUUUUCACAGAUAGAAAAAUAGUGAAUGGAACAAUGAAAAGAAGUUUAUAUAUGUAAUACAUGACAGUUUGAAAGCGAAAAUACAGUUUAUACAUAAAGGUAUUAUAAUAAAGGCAUGUUGUACUCAUUUUUGUUGUUAUUUCCACAAAAUUUGCUUCACCAACUUCACAGUCCUUUUGAGGCUGUCAACAAAAAUCUCUGGAAUACAAGAACUUAGGAAUUUGGGAAAGCUUUAGUGCUCAUACAGUUUGCAAA